UNNGGCUUGUCUCAAAGAUUAAGCCAUGCAUGUCUAAGCAUGAACUAAACUAAAGUGAAGCCGCGAAUAGCUCAUUACAACAGCCGUUGUUUCUUGGAUCUCCGCAAUACUUGGAUAACUGUGGUAAUUCUAGAGCUAAUACACGCAAUCGAGCUCCGACCUUACGGGACGAGCGCAUUUAUUAGAACAAAACCAAUCAGUGCUUGCACUGUGGUUUGGUGAAUCUGAAUAACUGAGCAGAUCGCUUCGGUCUUUGUACCGGCGAUGUAUCUUUCAAGUGUCUGCCUUAUCAACUUUCGAUGGUAGUUUAUGUGCCUACCAUGGUUGUAACGGGUAACGGAGAAUUAGGGUUCGACUCCGGAGAGGGAGCCUGAGAAACGGCUACCACUUCUAAGGAAGGCAGCAGGCGCGCAAAUUACCCACUCUCGGCACGAGGAGGUAGUGACGAAAAAUAACGAGACGGUGAUCUUAUGAUUACCGUCAUCGGAAUGAGAACAAUCUAAACCCUUAACGAGACCUAGCGAGGCAUUNUNNNNG
RNAcentral lists this ribosomal RNA (537 nucleotides) under Theristus sp. TN2consensus. RNAcentral describes it as "bacterial SSU rRNA". It matches the Rfam family "Eukaryotic small subunit ribosomal RNA", at positions 30 to 566 of the family's 1831-position model. The record is from RNAcentral. Lineage: Eukaryota; Metazoa; Nematoda; Chromadorea; Monhysterida; Xyalidae.